AGGAGGGAGAAGAUUCAGUGCUUAUUUAAUCCUGAAAAUAAAAACCAAGACAGGCAACGAAAGCAGGAGAAGAAACAGCUAAAAGAACAUCGUGAAGAACCAUAAUGAUGUAUGCUGAUUAACGUUCUCGGACAAUGACACUGAAUGAGCCAUGUGGGCGUAAAGACACUGCUACAUUGGACUGGCUAGGUCCCAUCCGGACCAGAUGCCCUGGAGCCCGCUAAGCUAACCCUCAUCACAGUUUACUGCAUUUCUGAGUCAUUAUUCAUUCCUUACCAUAAAACUGAAUGGAACACUACUGUUUGACUGCAUUUAUCAUCUCUGCGUCAGAGUUUAUUCACAUUUUACUUGUUAUUUUUACAUGAUUCUUUCAAAUGAAUUAAGCAUGAAAACUGAAACAUCCCUCAGACUUUGAGCAAAGUCUUAAACCCCUCUUCCCCUUUUUAUUUGUGAUUAUUCUCAGUAGAGUUUAAUGCCUGCAUAGUAAGUAGAUAUAAUACUUUGUGAUUAUUACCACCGUGGCAGAGAGGAGGAUGCUGUCCAGGUUUCAGUCCAUCUUAGACAAUGACUCACAUCCUCUCCACGACAGUCUGGUCCAGCAGACGAGCUCCUUCAGCAGAAGACUCCUCCUACCCAGAUGCACCACAGAGCGCCACAGGAAAUCAUUCCUACCUGUGGUCAUCACUCUCUAUAACACCUCCCUCAAGUGAUUCAGCACCCC
This is a long non-coding RNA of Cyprinodon variegatus (sheepshead minnow), 721 nucleotides long. RefSeq lists it as uncharacterized. The record is from RefSeq and is a predicted model, not a curated record. Lineage: Eukaryota; Metazoa; Chordata; Actinopteri; Cyprinodontiformes; Cyprinodontidae. The transcript has 3 exons.